This 787-nucleotide long non-coding RNA is filed under the name Phoenix dactylifera (date palm). Its description in RNAcentral is "long non-coding RNA (PDAC_LNC002966)". The record is from RNAcentral. Lineage: Eukaryota; Viridiplantae; Streptophyta; Magnoliopsida; Arecales; Arecaceae.
AACUCACUAACACUUAGUGGUUAAUUCAAUCAUCAAUUAUAUUGAUAAUUGACAUUAAUUGCGAUUCCAAAUCGCAACUAUGAUAGUCUGACUAAUCAAAUCCUCUAUGUGUGUGAUUCCGUAGGUUCUAUUCUGUCUGGUAGUGAGACAUAUUGAGAUCUCUAUCUCAAUAUCACUGAAACUCUUUUCAGUGGACUGAAACAAUUUCAGUUCUACUCUCAGGGUUCACUGAUCACCAAGUGAAUGCCUUCGAGUCUCACAAUCCACCAGUGACACCUAGCAGUAUGUGGUGGCAACCCAGCAGAAUAGUAUGUCUGAACCUCUAGGUGCAGUUAGCGUAUGAUACAGUCCCUCUAUCAUGGAUCCCGAUGUGGCGGAGGUUAUGGAUAACUCGUCAAAUUCCAUCGUCUGUCAUAUGUCUAAUUUAUUUGACUUCCAGUUCGAGAUAUGGAAAACUUUUUUUCCAAAAUAUCUGGCCAGGAAUUUAUCGAACUCGGUCUCAUAAAUCUUAUAGGAUCACUCCUAAUCUAUCAAGGUCGAUAGAUCCCAUCUAGAUGCAACCCUAUUCCAAAAUGAACCUACUGCAGCCAAUCCGCACCAUAAGGAUCCGAAUGGCUAGGGCCCAAGUUUACAUGCUCGUCAAACUACAGUAACCUCACAGUGAAUAGCUGAGGCAUCGCAGGUCAAAGGACCAGUCAUACAAUUGCAGCAUAAGUAGUCACUGACGAGUGGAUAGACAUCCAUGUGACUACUUUCUUUGGUCACGCUCAGUACACUUGUUCUCUAA